GUUAUUUAAGUAGCAAUCAAACUAAGCGAACUCCUUGAUUUGGAUACAGUUAUGACAAUUCACUGACCUUAAAUUGCCUAAUUUAAAUGAUCAUGUUAUUGAAUUCAUGCCUGUAGCCUACCAGUCCAAGUCUUUGCAUUACAAGCAGGACAGAAACAUCAUCUGACUAUGCUUCUGAUAUUUCACUGACUGCACAUCAGAUUAAGCUCCAGUUUAAUAUCAUGCAGGCUACAAUGUAAUUUUAGAUAGCUAUUUGGUAUAAUUAAAUGUCAUCCUUAAUUCUGUGGCAACACUCCACCCCCAUGGUUUCAUGAUUCACCAUGGAAAUCUGAGCUUGAUAUUUUUUGUAUCAGGGGAGGGUUGGGGAUGUAGAGAACAUCUUCUGUCUUACAGUGUUAAAUUCCCUUUGGCUCAUGUAAACUGAUUCAUAUUCAAAGGAAAACCUGAAGUUGCUGAUAGAAGCAUUAGCAGCUCAACCUCUUGUAAAAAAGUGUGUCUAUUUGUCCACUCCAAACUUCAUACAAGCUGGUCUACCAUGGAGAGCAUUUUAACUGGUUGGAUCACUGUCUGAUAUGGAGAGGCCACUGCACAGGAUCAGAAAAAGCUGCAGAAAGAUGUAAACUCAGACAGCUCCAUCAUGGGAAGUAGCCACGCAGCAUUGAAGACACUUUCAAAAGGCAAUGCCUCAAGAGCAAAUGUCAAGUCUGAAACAGAACCUACUCUGAUCAUCUUAACACUGAAAACAGUAGCAGUCUCGUUCUUCGAGAUCCAGAACUCAUCCAUUAUGGGAACUCUACAACAGGGACUAUAAGAGUUGAAGUGGAAUUCUACUGACACCAUUUCAAGACAACAUAACAGGUUAUCAAUGACAGGACUGUGGUAAUCAAGACUGAAGAGUGCAAGUAUGUCUCCGCAGAGAACAUCAAAUCUGCCCCAGCAGGAUGAGACAGGCUCAAGCUCCAAGAAGAAAUGUUGCUUUGGCUAUAUUUUACUUUUAAUAUUUGUGCUUAUAAUAACGUUGUUCAGUGAUGCUUUACUUCCCAGAUCCAAUUCAGCACAACAAAACACAAAAGUUAAGAACAGUAAUAAAAAGUACACUUAUCAAUAUCUAAGACAGCUGAAUUGAUUGAUUGAGUGUCCAUAAAGUGACGCUAUGCUGUAUAAGAAAUAAUAAAGUCGUGGUGGAGUUAGUAUAGUUUGUUUGUUUUUAGUCUGGUGUUCUGGAGCUUCCUUCCUGGCCCUUUUCCAGCACCUUUCAGUCAUGGCCUUGAUGGUGAGUAGGCUGGUGCCGGCAAUGCAUUGGACAGUUUUCACUACCAGUUGCAGAGCCUUCCUGUCUACUGUAGUGCACUUUCUGUACCAAGCAACGAUGUAGCUAGUCAGAACGCUCUCUACUGCAUAGCUGUAGAACGAUGCCAAGUAUGGAUGUACGAAGUCCAGCUCUUUUCAGCCACCUCAGAAAGUAGAGCCACUGGUGAACUUUCUUGACUGUAUAGGAUAUGUCCUAGAGCCAAGAGAGGUUGUGUGUUAUAUGCACUCCCAGGAGUUUAAAAGUACUUGUAGUUUCCACCGAUGUGAAGUGAGGUGUGGGUGCUGCGAGUUCUCCUGAAGUUGAUAAUCAUCUCCCUUGUCUUGUUGAGGUUAUUUGCCCAGCACCAGGCCUUCACCUCUUCCACCUUCUCUCUGUAGGCCACCUCAUCAGGAUCUGCAAGUAAUGAUGAUUCUAAUUUAAAUAUCACUAAAUGGCCCUCAUCUCUUGGCCAUAUGUGAACUAAUACGCUGGAAAUUUUAAAUCCUUGCCUUUGGCAAAGUGAUUGUUCCUGUCCACUCUGACCACAUUGCAGAUGAAAUAAACACAGACACAUGGAAAGGCAAAGAAUCACUUGCAGAAAUAAUUAAUGACGUCCCAACAAAACUGAAAGAUUCCAGCACAGAUACUGAAGGUAAACUAAUUGAAGAAAUUUUUGACAUGGAUCCCUUUACACUUGAAGAAAAGUAUAGACAGUUACGUCAUUGAAUGUUCCACCCAUGGGAACAUGACAUUGAAAUUGUUGGACAACAAUACUGUGGAAAGCCAUUUAAAAAAAAAAAUGAAAGCCCAUUGGUUUCCUUGGCCGUGCAAGUCUAGGGAAUCAACAAUCCAGUCCCAUCAAACCUGUGAGAUCAAGACGACUCUCCCAUCCCAAACCCCAGUUUGUGUGGAUGCUGUGUAAUCUGCAACCCUGUUACAACUCAGUGCCAAGAAACAACACAGCGCACUACAAACGAAUUAUAUUUAUGAAUCUUAACUAAAAGGGUUAGUAAAGAAAGGGGAAAAAAAAACAAAAAGGGCCCAUUAUAAAAAAAACAGUCAAAAUGUGCACAAGUUGGAGCUCAACUCUUCCCAAAAUUCAUAUUCACCGAUCCUCAGUCGAUCUCAGCGCCUGGCUCCAUUGAAUCACGGUCCCCCACCAGGUCAAAUCUUACGAAUGGUUCUCUCCAGUGUCUUUUCUCUUCAUCUUCCGCCAAACAAAAAAUGCAAGACCAACCUUAGUGUUGCUCACAAAGCCUCUCCCCCAAGUGUUCUCUUGAACCUUCUCCCAGUUUCACCAUCCUAAUUGGGUGACACACAUUCCUCAGCAUCCCUUAUCUUCAACAAUAACCCAAAAGGCUGAAAGCAGAACAGACUGCUCUUACAGAGCUGCUAAAAUGAAAUACCUACAGCAUAGCAGUAAAAAUGUGAACCAGGGUGUUACAUUUAAAAUGAAGACAUCACCAUUAGCCAAAUAAUUUCCUACACUUUCCCUUUAUGGCCAACAAGUAUAUGAACAUACUACAAAGACAGACAUUUCCAUUUCUUCAUUUAUGACCACUAUUCCACUCUAUUGUUAAAUUUCAAGAUGACAUGAAAAUUUCCUGCACUUCUGGAUGACGUUGUAAAUGGUUGAGUGAACCCUUAAUCCGGGCUUUUAUAUGUGCGGAAAAGAUGGAGAGAUGCACUGAAGCAAAACACAAGAUAAAAUGAAAAUGUUUUCCUCCCUGGUCAACCAAAAUUGGCAAGUCAAGUAAGCUUUUCAGAGAUUUUAAUCCCAUAGAUUAUUGCAUCUACCCAGAUUUUCUAUUUGUC
Mobula hypostoma (lesser devil ray) is the source of this 3106-nucleotide long non-coding RNA. RefSeq lists it as uncharacterized. The record is from RefSeq and is a predicted model, not a curated record. The transcript is spliced from 4 exons. NCBI's taxonomy places the organism in Eukaryota, Metazoa, Chordata, Chondrichthyes, Myliobatiformes, Myliobatidae.